Molecule: ribosomal RNA, 484 nt
Filed under: uncultured bacterium
Lineage: Bacteria
Description: partial 16S ribosomal RNA
Rfam family: Bacterial small subunit ribosomal RNA
Source: RNAcentral
AUUGAACGCUGGCGGCAGGCCUAACACAUGCAAGUCGAGCGGAUGAAGGGAGCUUGCUCCUGGCUUCAGCGGCGGACGGGUGAGUAAUGCCUAGGAAUCUGCCUGGUCGUGGGGGAUAACGUCCGGAAACGGGCGCUAAUACCGCAUACGUCCUGAUGGAGAAAGUGGGGGAUCUUCGGACCUCACGCUAUCAGAUGAGCCUAGGCCGGAUUAGCUAGUUGGUGGGGUAAAGGCCUACCAAGGCGACGAUCCGUAACUGGUCUGAGAGGAUGAUCAGUCACACUGGAACUGAGACACGGUCCAGACUCCUACGGGAGGCAGCAGUGGGGAAUAUUGGACAAUGGGCGAAAGCCUGAUCCAGCCAUGCCGCGUGUGUGAAGAAGGUCUUCGGAUUGUAAAGCACUUUAAGUUGGGAGGAAGGGCAGUAAGUUAAUACCUUGCUGUUUUGACGGUACCAACAGAAUAAGCACCGGCUAACUUCGUG